RNAcentral lists this ribosomal RNA (311 nucleotides) under uncultured Scutellospora. RNAcentral's name for it is "SSU rRNA". It matches the Rfam family "Eukaryotic small subunit ribosomal RNA", at positions 570 to 886 of the family's 1831-position model. Lineage: Eukaryota; Fungi; Glomeromycota; Glomeromycetes; Diversisporales; Gigasporaceae. The record is from RNAcentral.
GCAGCCGCGGUAAUUCCAGCUCCAAUAGCGUAUAUUAAAGUUGUUGCAGUUAAAAAGCUCGUAGUUGAAUUUCGGGAUUCUACCGUUGGUCAGGCUAACAAGUCUGUACUGGUGUGUAGAAUUUCUACCUUCUGGGGAACUAUCAUGUUAUUAAUUUAGCGUGGUGGGAAACCAGGACCUUUACCUUGAAAAAAUUAGAGUGUUCAAAGCAGGCUUACGUCUGAAUACAUUAGCAUGGAAUAAUAGAAUAGGACGGUGGUCCUGUUUUGUUGGUUUCUGAAUCACCGUAAUGAUUAAUAGGGAUAGUUGGG